GUUGAGUGCGGAGACUUAUGGGUUUCUGACACAGAUUGUUGUAGAACUAUUCAGGGCUAAGCAAAAUUUCCAGUUGACACCUUCAAAUAUCAAUAUCAGGAGGUGGCAAUUUCCAGAAAUUCCAUGAAUUAUAAUCCUCCUGCUCAGAUGAUGUCAUGGUUGGGAACAUCCCCUGCACAAGAUCAUGAAGCGUAGUGUAUGAUUUUGUGUCAACACGGCGGUUCAC
This 226-nucleotide unclassified non-coding RNA is filed under the name Hevea brasiliensis (rubber tree). The record is from RNAcentral. Lineage: Eukaryota; Viridiplantae; Streptophyta; Magnoliopsida; Malpighiales; Euphorbiaceae.